CUGGGUCGGGGUUUCGUACGUAGCAG
This 26-nucleotide non-coding RNA is filed under the name Gallus gallus (chicken). Lineage: Eukaryota; Metazoa; Chordata; Aves; Galliformes; Phasianidae. RNAcentral also lists the same sequence under 5 other names. The record is from RNAcentral.